GCUUUUUAAUUGAAAGCUAGUAUGAAUGGUUAAAUGAAAAUUAAUCUUUCUUUAUUUUAAUUAAUGUAAUUUUAUUUUUUAGUUAAAAAGCUAAAAUAAUUUUAUUAGACGAGAAGACCCUAUAGAACUUUAUUUUUAAUAUUUUAUUGUUUUUGUAUUUGAUUUUAUUUAAUUAAAUAUUAUUAAGAAUUUUGUUGGGGUGACAAUUAAAUUUAUUUAACUUUAAUUUAUUAUUAUUCAUUGAUUUAUGUAUAAGUUUUGAUCCAUUAUUAUUGAUUAUAAGAUUAAGUUACCUUAGGGAUAACAGCGUUAUUUUACUAGAAAGUUCUUAUUGAUAGUAAAGUUUGCGACCUCGAUGUGGGGUUAC
Molecule: ribosomal RNA, 367 nt
Filed under: Almeida pilosa
Lineage: Eukaryota; Metazoa; Arthropoda; Insecta; Hemiptera; Anthocoridae
Description: partial 16S ribosomal RNA
Source: RNAcentral